AUUAGAUACCCUGGUAGUCCCAGCCGUAAACGAUGGACGCUAGGUGUGGGGGGACGAUCCCCCCGUGCCGCAGCCAACGCAUUAAGCGUCCGCCUGGGGAGUACGGCCGCAAGGCUAAAACUCAAAGGAAUUGACGGGGGCCCGCACAAGCAGCGGAGCAUGUGGCUUAAUUCGAAGCAACGCGAAGAACCUUACCAGGGCUUGACAUAUGGGUGAAGCGGGGGAGACCCCGUGGCCGAGAGGAGCCCAUACAGGUGGUGCAUGGCU
RNAcentral lists this ribosomal RNA (267 nucleotides) under uncultured Coriobacteriaceae bacterium. Its description in RNAcentral is "partial 16S ribosomal RNA". It matches the Rfam family "Bacterial small subunit ribosomal RNA", at positions 777 to 1050 of the family's 1533-position model. The record is from RNAcentral. Lineage: Bacteria; Bacillati; Actinomycetota; Coriobacteriia; Coriobacteriales; Coriobacteriaceae.